RNAcentral lists this long non-coding RNA (4677 nucleotides) under Phoenix dactylifera (date palm). Its description in RNAcentral is "long non-coding RNA (PDAC_LNC004527)". Lineage: Eukaryota; Viridiplantae; Streptophyta; Magnoliopsida; Arecales; Arecaceae. The record is from RNAcentral.
GGAGAGAGCGAUGGUGUGUAUAUAUAUUGGGGGACCAGUCCCACUCGCAAAAGGGUUUUGUUGCUCUUGUGGCUGAUGGCAUUCCCACCACCACACAAGGAGCAAGAGAGAGAGAGAGAGAGAGAGAUUCAGGUUUGAGUGGCUGUGGGAGCAUUCAGCGUUGUUCCACUAUGCUGGACACAUGCAUGAAAGAGGUCUCAGAACCUUUUCUUUGUAAAGGUGGAGGACCCUUGUUUGCUAUCUGCCAAACUUUCUUCUCAAGCCUUUCUCCUGGGGUAUUUUUUGCCGUGGGAGCCCUUUCCUACAUGCAGGGGCUGCCCUAUUCUGUCGCUCGUGGGGUUUGGUCGAGUUCAUUAGACCUGCAUCAAGGCAAGCAAACACCAGGAAGCCUGUAGAAGUAAAUUUCUUUAAAAGCUUUUGGGAUUUUAGAGGGUGUUUAAGAAGUUAUAGCUAGGGAAAGUGAUUGCAUCAUUGAUGUACCUGGCCAGUUGCAAGCUGCCUUCUUUCUGUGGAUGUUGGGGUGGGGAGAGAUUACCUCCACUACAUGGCAGACAGCUUCCAUGACUUUUGCGAUGUUGGAAGACAGCUCCCAUUCACCACCAAUAUCAGAGGUAUCUGUCUGACAGCCCAAUAAGCCAACCGGAUUAUUGAUUGGACUCAUAAAUCUAUCAUGUUGGAUUUGAAAAGUGUAUGUUAGAUCUUAUUUCCUGUCAAUUUAUGCAAAGAUUUUAGGUUUCUAGGUCCUAACCAGUACUGUCAUGUUCCAUGACCAAAACUUAUUGCAUCUUAAAACUAGUCAUGGGAUGAGGAUGCAUACUAGGUGCCUGGAUUUUGCAUAUAUAAUGGAUGAUUUGAGCAAUGAUUUCGGUGAAUGUGAAUUUUGGCACAGUAUAGUGAAUGGUGGAUGGAUAACUGCAUUCCUUAAGUCUCAUAUGAGUAAAUUGAUUGCUUCUUCUUUUUUUUAAUUUUUUUAUUAAAAAAACUGGGCUUAGCCUUGAGUAUUAAUGUGCAAGACAUCAAUAAUUGACUUUGUGGGACCUAGAGGCAACAUUAGGUCAUAUGCGAUGGAAGCAAGGAGUAGGGAAUAGGGAUAUGUGAGGAAAGUAACCAAUGACAUUUGUGAUAGCCACUAUACUUGGCAAUGAAAGUCCAAGACAUUAUACAAACAUAAACAGUUAGAGUUGCUAUUGAAAUUGACCAUCCGCUUGAUUUAUUAUGUUCGACAAGAUUCAAUGUAUGAUAUUGUACCUUCUAGAAUUUACUUGUUUGAUCAUCAAAUCGACGCAAAAUGGAUUUAUAUUUUUAAUAUCCCGUCCAUUUUUUUAUUCAUUUAUUUCUAACAAUAUGAUAAAGGGUUUGAUUGGUUUAUGCUCAAAACUUUAAUAUGAAGUUAUUGAAUCUCAAGCCAUGUACUUUAAGAUGCCUAAAUAAUGAAUAUUGAAGUUAGUGACCAGAUCAUGUCACAAUUAAGCAAACUCACUUGAUAGUGGACUCAUCCUAACUAUGAUUUGAAGGAAAGAAAUGAAACAUUACUUGAUAUGUAUUGCAUAUAUAAUUAAUCAAUAUCAUGCACAUUUUAACAUGUAUAUAAAUCGCAUGAAAACGAACAAAUCAAGAUUAUUAUAAGAUAUCGAUUGUUAUGCUACUCAUUGAAGGCUUUAAUCAAAUACAAUUAAUUGUUUAAUUUGGAAGUUCUGCACCAAUUUUUGUCUGUAAUAGUUCUUUUUCUCUUCUCCCUUUGUCGACCACAAACUUCAAAAUUAGAAGAUAUAGGGCUAUAUUUGGUCAGUAGAAUACCAUGGCAAUCAGUCCUCUCACAGGACUCAGUCUGGGGACCUACUUAUUGCCACCUUUCAUUGUUGUAGGGGAACCAAUGAGGCCUGAUUUUAAGAGGGCAGAGCCUGAAACAAUAAGCUGCCAACCGAGACAAGCCGAGUUUGGGACCGGUUUUCUGUACUACCAUCGAUCAAAUAUUUCUAACUGAGGUAGAAUUUGAUUAAUUGUGUUCGAGAUUAAACGUGAUUAAAUACUAAUUGAACAAUGCAAUGGUAACUCAGAAAAAUCACUCAAAAAAGUCGUUAAACUAUCUUCCACCGUUCACGCUGCUUCAUCAUGCGUCACAAUUCACAAUGCAAAUACAAGGAGAGCAAUGAGAAUACAACACACCAGCUGAUUGAUUUGGAGUUAGUGAAGCAUUAUUGAUACUAAUUACUACGUUUGAGGACCGAGACAGCGAAAGCACGGGGAGAGCUGCUGUAAUGCUAGUAAGAGUUGUGUUACAACCAUUUGCAAGUGCAUGAAAGGAAGGAUGCUUUCUUCUCAUCAAAACUUGCAGUUUUUUGGUCAGGCACUUCUCUCUCUCUAGUUAAUUAGGCAGUUUUUAACAUAUGAGAAGUAGAAUUAAACUUAUCUUCGCAUGCUGAUGAAUAUUCCGGUCAAAUGCUUUUCAAAAAAGAAAAAAAAGAACAUACUGCACCAAUGGACCUUCUACCAUGGCAACCAGCAAAACACCUACAGUGUGAACUGUGAAAUAUUGAAAAAGAAUAUGGCCAUCUGUGGGUCGAGAAGGGCCCGACCGACCAGGAUGCACCUAAAAACUAGGCCCAUGUAAUAAGCAGGCCGGGUUGGGUUUGAUACUAAAGCCUCGGACCUGGAACGUAGGCCCGAACGCCCAAAGGCAAACUUGGUGUGGCCCAUGAACAGGUCUAUGAUCACGUGGGCUAACACACUUUGGGUUGGCCGAUUGGGACCUCAUGGCAAGAAAUUUUGCCCUACAUUGCAUGUACUAUAUGGCCGCACACAUCACCAAUCGCAACCGCUCAUUCCUAUAGUGAUGCAUCAAGACACACACUCGAUGAAUGUGGCCUACAUGAACGAGCGGUUGUGAUUGGUGGUGUGCACGGUCACAUGUUAAUUUGCUAACUUGUCAUCUAUUGCAAAUAUAUCUCAUCUUGUACUAGCACUAGAGACCAAAGUAUAUCCGGGGUAUCUGGGGUUCCCAUUCUGGCUAGGCAGCACCCCACAUGGUGUUUUUCCCCUAGGAGCCCCCAUUCCCAAGCUUCCUCAAGGUCAUCUUCGAUGGGUCUGUUUUGGAUGGAGGCACGAGGGGAUGUGUGAGUUUUGUCAUAAGCAACCCGAACUCCAAGUUGGUGGCAGCGGGCGACUAUCAAUUAUUCGACAUCACGGUCCCCGGUGCGGAGCUGAGAGCUGCAUGGGUGGGCUUUUGAUAUGCUCAAUGAGUGCUACUAGCCAGUUCAGUCAUCCUGGAGGGUAACUCGGCCAUGGUCAUCAAUUAGAUCCAGAGAGAAAAGGGUUGCCGACUGCGACCAUCCCUUGCUUCGAGACAUUUGGAUGAUGAUGAGGAAUGGAGGGGUCGUCCAAGCCAAGCAUAUAUUUAGAGAAGCUAACGAGGCUGCGGAUUAGGUGGCCGCCUAUGUGGCGUACCAUGCCGGUAGCACCUUGUGGGCUGGCGAUGGGGAGCUACAUCGAGAGCUCCGUGAUAUUCAUUUUUCUGAUUUUAUUGGGUGCAUUCGUACACGUAAAAUGCAUGAAUUACCUAUUUUAUCAAAACAAAAAAAAGUAUAUCUGCAUAUCAUAAUAUAAACUCUGAUAGUACUAGAGACUUGGACGCCUAAAGGCUUUUGGAGAUUUGAAGGUCUGCAGUGAUAAAUACGUAAAGGUUUCAGCAAAUGAAAUGGCUAACUCUGUUUAUCAGCUAGAAAAUCUAAUAAGUAUGAUUUUCCACUUAAGCAUGGACUAUGAGGUUCUGUUUAUAAGAUUUAUAGUUUGUGUGCAUGACUUUCUGUAGUAACAUCAGAAUUGUUAUAAAAACAUGACCACUGAAUGAUGUGGCUUGCGCCUUCAAAUUGUAGAAAGAAGAGGAAGCCUAACAACAUAAUGAAUUAUUUCAUUGCGAACGCUGCAAGGAUUUGUCACUCUGCACUUGCAAGGGCGAGUAUGUUCUUCCAUUCUUUUGCAUGGGACAUUUCAGUUUGACAAGUAGGCUUGCUUCAAGUUUUCUACUAUAACUAGGUUUCCUUCUUGAUUUUAUUUUAUGUUGUCUCAUUUCCUAUGUCAUCUAUUUUUUGAGGUUGGAGGACCUAUCUACCAUGACUGCUUGUCUAUUUUUGAGAUUGCUACCUCUGCAUUCUUUUCUAAGCAGCCCUCUUUCAGGCUUGCAGACAAAGUGAUGAUUCCAACCACUCCCUCCUGAUCUGAGCUCCAUUGCUCCAAUUUUUUUACAUGAAGUAAUGCAUCUGCGUCCUGGUCAUGCUUGUUCCCUUGUCUCCUUAUAUUGUUGGAUGUGGCUGCAUAAAGAGUGGGUUCAUCAAUUAAAGGAAGAGGAUCACAAUCAUAAACAGGAUGCAGGCUUGCUCCAUUGAGACAAUUUUAUCAUUUGAUACACAUUCUAGGACAAUUGGAACAGCUCAAAAAUUUAGAAUUUAAGUGGCUUUCAAUAGACAGGGCCAUGGUUGGGUAAAUACAGAUAUAUGAAGUGCAAGUCCACUCGAUGUGAUCAUGACAAUCAAAAAUAUGUUGGCUGAUGAGUAGGCUGAUAUCAUCGUAGAGCUUCCCACAUAAUUUUCAAAUGUAAGAGAAUAUUUGGAGAAUAAUUCCUUCCGCCGCCGCUCUGUAAUCACUCUUCGAUGAUAAGUAGGGUGGCUAGGUUGAUAUGUC